ACUACGGGGUGCAGCAGUGAGGAAUAUUGGUCAAUGGGCGGGAGCCUGAACCAGCCAAGUCGCGUGAGGGAAGACGGUCCUACGGAUUGUAAACCUCUUUUGCCGGGGAGCAACGGGGUCCUUGCGCGGGCCCAAUGAGAGUACCCGGAGAAAAAGCAUCGGCUAACUCCGUGCCAGCAGCCGCGGUAAUACGGGGAAUGCGAGCGUUAUCCGGAUUUAUUGGGUUUAAAGGGUGCGUAGGCGGUCUGUUAAGUCAUCGGUCAAAUGUAGGGGCUCAACCCCGGCCUGCCGUUGAAACUGGCGGCCUCGAGUGGGCGAGAAGUAGGCGGAAUGCGUGGUGUAGCGGUGAAAUGCAUAGAUAUCACGCAGAACUCCGAUUGCGAAGGCAGCAUACCGGCGCCCUACUGACGCUGAGGCACGAAAGCGUGGGUAUCGAACAGGAUUAGAUACCCGUGUAGUC
RNAcentral lists this ribosomal RNA (460 nucleotides) under uncultured bacterium. Its description in RNAcentral is "partial 16S ribosomal RNA". It matches the Rfam family "Bacterial small subunit ribosomal RNA", at positions 338 to 795 of the family's 1533-position model. The record is from RNAcentral.